RNAcentral lists this ribosomal RNA (625 nucleotides) under Cryptosporidium sp. Canario S5. RNAcentral's name for it is "SSU rRNA". It matches the Rfam family "Eukaryotic small subunit ribosomal RNA", at positions 314 to 970 of the family's 1831-position model. The record is from RNAcentral. Lineage: Eukaryota; Apicomplexa; Conoidasida; Eucoccidiorida; Cryptosporidiidae.
AUCUGAUUUAGACGGUAGGGUAUUGGCCUACCGCGGCAAUGACGGGGUAACGGGAAAUAGGGUUUGAUUCUGGAGAGGGAGCCUGAGAGACGGGUACCACUUAUAUGGAGGGCAGCACGCGCGCAAAUAUUCAACCUCUUAAUACACGGAGUGGNGACACGAAAUAACACUACACGAGUCUUAGGUUUUGUAAUUGGAAUGAGUUAAGUAUAAACCCCCCUCCAAGUAUCAAAUGGAGGGCAAGUCUGGGGCCAGCAGCCGCGGUAAUUCCAGCUCCAAAAGAGUAUAUUAAAGUUGUGGCACUUAAAAAAAUCGUAGAUGGAUUUCUGUUAAUAAUUUAUAUAAAAUAUUUAGAAUAUCUAUAUAACAUUAACAUAAUUCUUAUUAUUAUAUUUUUUAGUAUAGGAAAUUUUAUUUUGAGAAAAUUAGAGUGUUUAAAGCAGGCAUAUCCCUGGAAUAUUCCACCAGGGAAUAAUAUUAAAGAUUUUUAUCUUUCUUAUUGGUUCUAGGAUAAAAAUAAUGGUUAAUAGGGACAGUUGGGGGCAUUUGUAUUUAACAGUCAGAGGUGAAAUUCUUAGAUUUGUUAAAGACAAACUAAUGCGAAAGCAUUUGCCAAGGAUGUGUU